This 334-nucleotide unclassified non-coding RNA is filed under the name soil metagenome. Its description in RNAcentral is "partial contains 5.8S ribosomal RNA, internal transcribed spacer 2, and large subunit ribosomal RNA". The stretch from base 1 to 120 matches the Rfam family "5.8S ribosomal RNA", at positions 35 to 154 of the family's 154-position model. The record is from RNAcentral.
GAUGAAGAACGCAGCGAAAUGCGAUAAGUAAUGUGAAUUGCAGAAUUCAGUGAAUCAUCGAAUCUUUGAACGCACAUUGCGCCCGCCAGUAUUCUGGCGGGCAUGCCUGUUCGAGCGUCAUUUCAACCAUCAAGCCCCGGGCUUGUGUUGGGGACCUGCGGCUGCCGCAGGCCCUGAAAUGCAGUGGCGGGCUCGCUGUCACUCCGAGCGUAGUAGUUACAUCUCGCUCUGGGCGUGCUGCGGGUUCCGGCCGUUAAAAGCCUUUUUUACCCAAGGUUGACCUCGGAUCAGGUAGGAAGACCCGCUGAACUUAAGCAUAUCAAUAAGCGGAGGA